UGUUGAACUGUGAAGAAGUUCUACCGUUCGAAAGGAUUUUUGAUGAUCAGGUAUUCAAUACGUACGGUGAUGUGAAUGAUGAUCAAUUAAGCCAGAUUAAAGAGAACGGAUUCGCAACCUGGUUAAAAGAAUUUAUUGAAUCAUCGCAAGAAGAUCAUCCAUUGUGGUUA
This is a long non-coding RNA of Tarenaya hassleriana, 170 nucleotides long. RefSeq lists it as uncharacterized. The record is from RefSeq and is a predicted model, not a curated record. NCBI's taxonomy places the organism in Eukaryota, Viridiplantae, Streptophyta, Magnoliopsida, Brassicales, Cleomaceae. The transcript is spliced from 3 exons.